AGUGAACGCUGGCGGCAGGCCUAACACAUGCAAGUCGAACGGCAGCACAAGAGAGCUUGGUCUCUGGGUGGCGAGUGGCGGGCGGGUGAGGCAUGCAUCGGAAUCUGCCCAUUUGUGGGGGAUAUCCUCGGGAAACCGGGACUAAUACCGCAUACGACCUACGGGUGGAAGCAGGGGGGCUUCGUACCUUGCGCAGAUGGAUGAGCCGAUGCCGGAGUCGCUUGUUGGAGGGGUAAAGGCCCAACAAGGCGACGAGCGGUAGAGGGUGUGAGAGGAUGGUGGGCCACACUGGGACUGAGACACGGCCCAUAGUCCUGCGGGAGGGAGCAGUGGGGAACAUGGGGCAAUGGUCGCAAGCCUGAUCCAGCCAGGCCGCGUGUGUUAAGAAGGCCUUCGGGUUGUAAAGCACGUUUGUUGGGAAAGAAAAGCAUCCGGUUAAUACCCGGUUGUCAUGACGGUACCCAAAGAAUAAGCACCGGCUAACUUCGUG
Molecule: ribosomal RNA, 490 nt
Filed under: uncultured bacterium
Lineage: Bacteria
Description: partial 16S ribosomal RNA
Rfam family: Bacterial small subunit ribosomal RNA
Source: RNAcentral